AGGGUUUGAUCCUGGCUCAGAACGAACGCUGGCGGCACGCCUAACACAUGCAAGUCGAGCGCUUCCCUUCGGGGAGGAGCGGCGGACGGGUUAGUAACGCGUGGGAACAUACCCUUUACUAAGGAAUAGCCUCUGGAAACGGAGAGUAAUACCUUAUACGCCCUUCGGGGGAAAGAUUUAUCGGUGAAGGAUUGGCCCGCGUUAGAUUAGAUAGUUGGUGGGGUAAUGGCCUACCAAGUCUACGAUCUAUAGCUGGUUUGAGAGGAUGAUCAGCAACACUGGGACUGAGACACGGCCCAGACUCCUACGGGAGGCAGCAGUGGGGAAUCUUAGACAAUGGGCGCAAGCCUGAUCUAGCGAUGCCGCGUGAGUGACGAAGGCCUUAGGGUCGUAAAGCUCUUUCACCAGGGAUGAUAAUGACAGUACCUGGAAAAGAAACCCCGGCUAACUCCGUGCCAGCAGCCGCGGUAAUACGGAGGGGGUUAGCGUUGUUCGGAAUUACUGGGCGUAAAGCGCACGUAGGCGGAUUAGUAAGUUAGAGGUGAAAUCCCAGGGCUCAACCCUGGAACUGCCUUUAAUACUGCUAGUCUUGAGUUCGAGAGAGGUAAGUGGAAUUCCGAGUGUAGAGGUGAAAUUCGUAGAUAUUCGGAGGAACACCAGUGGCGAAGGCGACUUACUGGCUCGAUACUGACGCUGAGGUGCGAAAGCGUGGGGAGCAAA
Molecule: ribosomal RNA, 720 nt
Filed under: uncultured bacterium
Lineage: Bacteria
Description: bacterial SSU rRNA
Rfam family: Bacterial small subunit ribosomal RNA
Source: RNAcentral